CUGUGGGCAUGCCGGAGUGUUAGCAGUACUCUGUGACCAUCAAUCUGCUUUACGGUGGGGCUAAGCUUGAAGGCGGUGUGUUGUUUGCAAGAAUGCCUUUGCUGUACAAUGAGCUUGUGUCCUUCUAGAUUAAGCCAUUAAGUGAAUCCUGCCAGGCUCGGAAGAGUGCAACAGUAGCUUCAAUGCUUUGAUGCUUCAAGGGAAACGCAAGCAAGGAAAGCAAAGGGCACAUUCUUGCUUUGCAGUGCAUCCACUUCAAGAGCCCACAC
Molecule: signal recognition particle RNA, 269 nt
Filed under: archaeon
Lineage: Archaea
Description: signal recognition particle sRNA
Rfam family: Archaeal signal recognition particle RNA
Source: RNAcentral